This is a non-coding RNA of Cinara cedri, 279 nucleotides long. NCBI's taxonomy places the organism in Eukaryota, Metazoa, Arthropoda, Insecta, Hemiptera, Aphididae. The record is from the annotation of a GenBank genome assembly.
UCUACAUAAGUCAGCUUCCAAAUCAACAGAGGUCAGCUUCCAAGUCAACAGAACCAACUCUAGAGCCAUAACGGGCCGUAAUAUUACAUAGAUAUCAUUAUAAAAAGGCGAAUAUCUAUCAGUAAUCUACGAUAAAACAAGUACGAAAAACGUUUUUUUUAUAUUUUAAGUGCUAUGAGGGUGAAAAAAAUAUAUUUCUAUAUUUUCUUUUUCAGCGUAAUGUUCAUUGAAGAUUAUAUGAUGUAAAGUCAAAUUAGAAUUAUUUAUAUUUGAAUAACU